RNAcentral lists this ribosomal RNA (565 nucleotides) under Actinoplanes sp. 384E12. RNAcentral describes it as "bacterial SSU rRNA". It matches the Rfam family "Bacterial small subunit ribosomal RNA", at positions 93 to 671 of the family's 1533-position model. RNAcentral also lists the same sequence under 1 other name. Lineage: Bacteria; Bacillati; Actinomycetota; Actinomycetes; Micromonosporales; Micromonosporaceae. The record is from RNAcentral.
GAGCGGCGAACGGGUGAGUAACACGUGAGUAACCUGCCCCAGACUUUGGGAUAACCCUCGGAAACGGGGGCUAAUACCGGAUAUGACACAGCUUCGCAUGGGGUCUGUGUGGAAAGUUUUUCGGUUUGGGAUGGGCUCGCGGCCUAUCAGCUUGUUGGUGGGGUGAUGGCCUACCAAGGCGACGACGGGUAGCCGGCCUGAGAGGGCGACCGGCCACACUGGGACUGAGACACGGCCCAGACUCCUACGGGAGGCAGCAGUGGGGAAUAUUGCACAAUGGGCGGAAGCCUGAUGCAGCGACGCCGCGUGAGGGAUGACGGCCUUCGGGUUGUAAACCUCUUUCAGCAGGGACGAAGCGUAAGUGACGGUACCUGCAGAAGAAGCGCCGGCCAACUACGUGCCAGCAGCCGCGGUAAGACGUAGGGCGCGAGCGUUGUCCCGGAUUUAUUGGGCGUAAAGAGCUCGUAGGCGGCUUGUCGCGUCGAAUGUGAAAACCCACAGCUCAACUGUGGGCUUGCAUUCGAUACGGGCAGGCUCGAGUUCGGUAGGGGAGACUGGAAUUCCU